RNAcentral lists this ribosomal RNA (270 nucleotides) under uncultured prokaryote. RNAcentral's name for it is "partial 16S ribosomal RNA". It matches the Rfam family "Archaeal small subunit ribosomal RNA", at positions 474 to 743 of the family's 1478-position model. The record is from RNAcentral.
UACUAGCGGUCCGAGUGGCAGCCACAUUUAUUGGGUCUAAAACAUCCGUAGCUUGUCUCGUAAGUCUCUUGUGAAAUCUGGCAUCUUAAGUGUCAGGCGUGCAAGAGAUACUGCGAGGCUAGAGACCGGGAGACGUAAGGAGUACGGUUAGGGUAGCGGUUAAAUGCGUUGAUCCUUACUGGACUAACGAUAGCGAAGGCACCUUACGAGAACGGAUCUGACAGUCAGGGAUGAAGGCUAGGGUCGCAAAACGGAUUAGAUACCCGCGUA